This 371-nucleotide unclassified non-coding RNA is filed under the name Hevea brasiliensis (rubber tree). Lineage: Eukaryota; Viridiplantae; Streptophyta; Magnoliopsida; Malpighiales; Euphorbiaceae. The record is from RNAcentral.
GAGGUGCUUUGACAUUUUCUUAAAAGUCUUCAAAUAAACCUCUAUAAUGGAAGUCUUCUCUUGAAAGGACUGCAUUGUUAAUCUUUCAGCAUUUCUUGCCUCUUCCCGAAAUGAUUUCUUCUCCUCCAAAGCCCUCUGCAAUUUAUCAGGCGAUUGAACAAUUUUUGAACGUAGGCUUGCAUUUUCUUGGACACUUUGUACCAGAUCAAACUCUGCCUUUGAAAUCUCCUCGUCCAUUUCCCCAGUCUUCUCCUUUAACUUUCGGAAAGAAGCUCUGAGUGACAACUGGUGAUUGUUGAGGCCUGCAAUGGUCUGAUGCAAUUCUUUAACGUUGGCAUCUACCUCUUGCACAAGUGGCAACUCCCUUUCCC